AAGGUCGUGGUCGAAUGGUUACGCUGUCCGCUUUGUAAGCGGGUGAUCAUGGGUUUGAUUCCCAUCUGCUGCA
RNAcentral lists this transfer RNA (73 nucleotides) under Culex quinquefasciatus (southern house mosquito). Its description in RNAcentral is "tRNA-Thr". The stretch from base 7 to 66 matches the Rfam family "tRNA", at positions 7 to 64 of the family's 71-position model. Rfam says of the family: Transfer RNA (tRNA) molecules are approximately 80 nucleotides in length. Their secondary structure includes four short double-helical elements and three loops (D, anti-codon, and T loops). Further hydrogen bonds mediate the characteristic L-shaped molecular structure. tRNAs have two regions of fundamental functional importance: the anti-codon, which is responsible for specific mRNA codon recognition, and the 3' end, to which the tRNAs corresponding amino acid is attached (by aminoacyl-tRNA synthetases). tRNAs cope with the degeneracy of the genetic code in two manners: having more than one tRNA (with a specific anti-codon) for a particular amino acid; and 'wobble' base-pairing, i.e. permitting non-standard base-pairing at the 3rd anti-codon position. The record is from RNAcentral. Lineage: Eukaryota; Metazoa; Arthropoda; Insecta; Diptera; Culicidae.